ACUUCCGGUCAGAACAUCAAUGACCGCCAUUUGAAUCAACAAAAGGAGCUGUAACACUGUGAGGGUCUGGUCAGCUGCUUCAUUCUUGAAGUCAGUGAGACCGCAAACCCACCAGAAGGAACCAACUCCGGACACAGAGGGACUAGAUAAUACUGGCUGAAUGAAGGAAUAUGAACAAGGCCACUUGGCACUCAGAAACAUACAUCUAAGGAAAGAUUCACUUAAAAACCAGCCAAGACACAGUCAUAUAAUUGGGAUCUCCAGGGCCCUGAGUAAAGACAGUCUCCUCCCACUUCAUCGUCGGUAAAUCAAACUCUCCACAGAUGGUCAGUCAAGAGGAAGAAAAGGAAACUUGAGGCAAGGGAAGAUGUGAAACAAUUCAAAGUGAUGCAUAUGACUCCAGCUGCUGCCGUGUGAAGUACCACCGUGAGAUACAGCAGCUUUCUCAGCAGGCUUGUCUACGAAAACAUCAGGGACUCCCCUGGAAAUUGUGCAAAGUAAAACCUCAGAGUCUUUUUUGGAAGAUAGCAAAGAAGAAAAUUUUAUUUUUGUCAUGGGUCAAAGUUUACCCCAUGAGGGGUUUAACCCCCAAACACAUUUCUGAUUGGCAUCAUCUCUUCCCUUCUGUGACUUAAAGGAUGCCAGAAUCCUGACCUUGCCUUUCAUCGAAGUCUUAAUGUGGUAGAAGGCUCCAGGUGUGUGGCUGUUUGGCUGGCAUCGUCUCAAGCCCAGACCUAUAUUUACUGACUUAGAAUCUAUAUUUUAACAAGUGGGUGAUUUGUGCAUACAGUGAGGUUUAAAAACCGCUACGCUAUACCACACGGCCUUUCCACAACCUCGUGUGGGUCAAUCAUUCCUUGAUAUUGGUUCAGAACCAACUUGGGUGCACACCUGAAGGAACAAUUGUUUCCUCUUCUUCGGCUGUUUCCUUUAAACAUCAGGGGAAAUGUGUUUGUGUGCCACAGACCUCAGAAGUGGGGUCCACACUCAAACCGUCUAGGAGGUUUACUUCAACAUGAAAUGGAAAUGAAAGUUUAGGUUUCUGUCCUGGGCAUGCCCAGUAUGAAAUCUCUCCCAGGGAGUAAGGCAAAUUUUGUCUGUGGCCUUGAAAAUUAUGGUUCAUGUGGCCUUGAAAAUUAUGGCCCAUGCUUGGAGCUUGGAGCUACCCCAAGCUCUCAUGAACGUGAUUCAAGAUCCUUUCGAAUCUGGUCUCAUGUUUCUAAUGUUCCAGAUACCAUUUGCAAUAACUGUCAACAAGUGCUAAAGCAUUAUAACAAUUAAAUACUGGUGGCUUGAGUAUUAGUCUUCAUUCAACACACUUUUACUAAAUACCAUCCCUGUGCAGACAAGAGGCAAGGUACUGGAAAUACAAAACUGAUCAAGACACAGCCUCGUUCUCAAGAAGUUCACAAUCAUUUUGGACGUAUUGCUUGACAUUAACAAAUAAGCAGGCUCAUAGUGGGCUUUAACACAGAAAAAAUGGCACUAAAAGAUAUACAUUGAUAAUAAGGUCAUGCUCGGUGAGAAUGUUCAUGAUAAUGAUCAUCUAAUAUGUAUCAUAUGCAGAUACAUUAUGGUUCCAAGCGUAUGUGGCUCUAAUAAACAGUGUCCGGUAUUUGUGGAUUAUCUUUCCAGGGGAGCACAGUUGUAACUGUUGUACGUGCUCUACUUGCCUACAGCAGAACAUCUUGUUUCUGUGGGAUUCUUCAGUCUGCCCUCCCAUGGGAAAACUGAUCAAGAGAAAGCAGAGGCGUCUACCUGUGAUGGAUAUGUUGGAAAGGUGUAUUUAGCAUGCAUAUUCUAUGGCAGUAUAUGUAAAUACAAUUAAAAUCUACUGACAUAUCUUGGGGAAAUUAAUUUUUGUGUAUUAAAAUUAUUCCAAUUUCCCUGGAUACAUGAGGCUGCCUUGAAUCAGUUUCCCUAAUUUUUAACAUUGGCAUGGUCCCUAAGCAAAGCUACUGUGGGUCUGUUUCAUGACUGGGGUAAGCUCAGGGAAUACCUAAACACUUUACAGACUUUAUUUUUAACAUUGAAAACUUCUAUAAGAAAGGUAUAUCUGGAAAAGGAUAGAAAACAAAUAAAUAGAAAAGUUAUAGCAAUCGUAAAA
Molecule: long non-coding RNA, 2107 nt
Organism: Homo sapiens (human)
Lineage: Eukaryota; Metazoa; Chordata; Mammalia; Primates; Hominidae
Source: Ensembl